ACCUGAGUGGCUCAGUCAGUUAAGCGUCAGACUUCAGCUCUGGUCACGAUCUCGUGGUUCAUGGGUUCGAGUCCUACCUUGGGCU
RNAcentral lists this transfer RNA (85 nucleotides) under Felis catus (domestic cat). It matches the Rfam family "tRNA". From Rfam's summary of the family: Transfer RNA (tRNA) molecules are approximately 80 nucleotides in length. Their secondary structure includes four short double-helical elements and three loops (D, anti-codon, and T loops). Further hydrogen bonds mediate the characteristic L-shaped molecular structure. tRNAs have two regions of fundamental functional importance: the anti-codon, which is responsible for specific mRNA codon recognition, and the 3' end, to which the tRNAs corresponding amino acid is attached (by aminoacyl-tRNA synthetases). tRNAs cope with the degeneracy of the genetic code in two manners: having more than one tRNA (with a specific anti-codon) for a particular amino acid; and 'wobble' base-pairing, i.e. permitting non-standard base-pairing at the 3rd anti-codon position. RNAcentral also lists the same sequence under 1 other name. The record is from Rfam by way of RNAcentral. Lineage: Eukaryota; Metazoa; Chordata; Mammalia; Carnivora; Felidae.